Molecule: ribosomal RNA, 795 nt
Filed under: uncultured bacterium
Lineage: Bacteria
Description: bacterial SSU rRNA
Rfam family: Bacterial small subunit ribosomal RNA
Source: RNAcentral
AGAGUUUGAUCAUGGCUCAGAACGUACGCUGGCGGCACGCCUAAUACAUGCAAGUCGAACGAAGUAGCAAUACUUAGUGGCAGACGGGUGAGUAACAUGUAGGUAUCUUCCCUUUGGUGAGGAAUAACACGAGGAAACUUGUGCUAAUACCUCAUAAGUCUUUACGGAGAAAGCUUUAUGCGCCAAUGGAUGAGCCUGCACUUGAUUAGUUUGUUGGUAGGGUAAUGGCCUACCAAGACAAUGAUCAAUAGCUGAUUUGAGAGGAUGAUCAGCCACAUUGGGACUGAGACACGGCCCAAACUCCUACGGGAGGCAGCAGUAGGGAAUCUUGCACAAUGGGGGAAACCCUGAUGCAGCGAUGCCGCGUGAGUGAAGAAGGCCUUUGGGUUGUAAAGCUCUUUCGUCGGGGAAGAAAAUGACUGUACCCGAAUAAGAAGGUCCGGCUAACUUCGUGCCAGCAGCCGCGGUAAUACGAAGGGACCUAGCGUAGUUCGGAAUUACUGGGCUUAAAGAGUUCGUAGGUUGUAAAAAAAGUUGGUGGUGAAAUCCCAGGGCUUAACUCUGGAACUGCCAUCAAAACUUUUUAGCUAGAGUAUGAUAGAGGAAAGCAGAAUUUCUAGUGUAGAGGUGAAAUUCGUAGAUAUUAGAAAGAAUACCAAUUGCGAAGGCAGCUUUCUGGAUCAUUACUGACACUGAGGAACGAAAGCAUGGGUAGCGAAGAGGAUUAGAUACCCUCGUAGUCCAUGCCGUAAACGAUGUGUGUUAGACGUUGGAAAUUUAUUUUCAGUGUCGCAG